RNAcentral lists this ribosomal RNA (1485 nucleotides) under Bacillus subtilis. RNAcentral's name for it is "bacterial SSU rRNA". It matches the Rfam family "Bacterial small subunit ribosomal RNA". The record is from RNAcentral. Lineage: Bacteria; Bacillati; Bacillota; Bacilli; Caryophanales; Bacillaceae.
GCUCAGGACGAACGCUGGCGGCGUGCCUAAUACAUGCAAGUCGAGCGGACAGAUGGGAGCUUGCUCCCUGAUGUUAGCGGCGGACGGGUGAGUAACACGUGGGUAACCUGCCUGUAAGACUGGGAUAACUCCGGGAAACCGGGGCUAAUACCGGAUGGUUGUUUGAACCGCAUGGUUCAAACAUAAAAGGUGGCUUCGGCUACCACUUACAGAUGGACCCGCGGCGCAUUAGCUAGUUGGUGAGGUAACGGCUCACCAAGGCAACGAUGCGUAGCCGACCUGAGAGGGUGAUCGGCCACACUGGGACUGAGACACGGCCCAGACUCCUACGGGAGGCAGCAGUAGGGAAUCUUCCGCAAUGGACGAAAGUCUGACGGAGCAACGCCGCGUGAGUGAUGAAGGUUUUCGGAUCGUAAAGCUCUGUUGUUAGGGAAGAACAAGUACCGUUCGAAUAGGGCGGUACCUUGACGGUACCUAACCAGAAAGCCACGGCUAACUACGUGCCAGCAGCCGCGGUAAUACGUAGGUGGCAAGCGUUGUCCGGAAUUAUUGGGCGUAAAGGGCUCGCAGGCGGUUUCUUAAGUCUGAUGUGAAAGCCCCCGGCUCAACCGGGGAGGGUCAUUGGAAACUGGGGAACUUGAGUGCAGAAGAGGAGAGUGGAAUUCCACGUGUAGCGGUGAAAUGCGUAGAGAUGUGGAGGAACACCAGUGGCGAAGGCGACUCUCUGGUCUGUAACUGACGCUGAGGAGCGAAAGCGUGGGGAGCGAACAGGAUUAGAUACCCUGGUAGUCCACGCCGUAAACGAUGAGUGCUAAGUGUUAGGGGGUUUCCGCCCCUUAGUGCUGCAGCUAACGCAUUAAGCACUCCGCCUGGGGAGUACGGUCGCAAGACUGAAACUCAAAGGAAUUGACGGGGGCCCGCACAAGCGGUGGAGCAUGUGGUUUAAUUCGAAGCAACGCGAAGAACCUUACCAGGUCUUGACAUCCUCUGACAAUCCUAGAGAUAGGACGUCCCCUUCGGGGGCAGAGUGACAGGUGGUGCAUGGUUGUCGUCAGCUCGUGUCGUGAGAUGUUGGGUUAAGUCCCGCAACGAGCGCAACCCUUGAUCUUAGUUGCCAGCAUUCAGUUGGGCACUCUAAGGUGACUGCCGGUGACAAACCGGAGGAAGGUGGGGAUGACGUCAAAUCAUCAUGCCCCUUAUGACCUGGGCUACACACGUGCUACAAUGGACAGAACAAAGGGCAGCGAAACCGCGAGGUUAAGCCAAUCCCACAAAUCUGUUCUCAGUUCGGAUCGCAGUCUGCAACUCGACUGCGUGAAGCUGGAAUCGCUAGUAAUCGCGGAUCAGCAUGCCGGGGGAAAAACCCUUUCCCGGGCCCUUGUACACACCGCCCGUCACACCACGAGAGUUUGUAACACCCGAAGUCGGUGAGGUAACCUUUUAGGAGCCAGCCGCCGAAGGUGGGACAGAUGAUUGGGGUGAAUC